CAGUAGCCGCGGUAAUACGAGGGGAGCUAGCGUUGUUCGGAAUUACUGGGCGUAAAGCGCGCGUAGGCGGCUUUUUAAGUCAGAGGUGAAAGCCCGGGGCUCAACCACGGAAUUGCCUUUGAAACUGGAAAGCUAGAAUCUUGGAGAGGUCAGUGGAAUUCCGAGUGUAGAGGUGAAAUUCGUAGAUAUUCGGAAGAACACCAGUGGCGAAGGCGACUGACUGGACAAGUAUUGACGCUGAGGUGCGAAAGCGUGGGGAGCAAACAGGAUUAGAUACCCCUGUAGUCCCUGUCUCUUAUAC
RNAcentral lists this ribosomal RNA (301 nucleotides) under uncultured bacterium. Its description in RNAcentral is "partial 16S ribosomal RNA". It matches the Rfam family "Bacterial small subunit ribosomal RNA", at positions 509 to 807 of the family's 1533-position model. The record is from RNAcentral.